This 86-nucleotide transfer RNA is filed under the name Lactobacillales bacterium. RNAcentral's name for it is "tRNA-Leu". It matches the Rfam family "tRNA". Rfam says of the family: Transfer RNA (tRNA) molecules are approximately 80 nucleotides in length. The record is from RNAcentral. Lineage: Bacteria; Bacillati; Bacillota; Bacilli; Lactobacillales.
GCGGAGAUGGCGGAAUUGGCAGACGCGCAAGACUAAGGAUCUUGUGCCCAAUUACGGGCGUGAGGGUUCAAGUCCCUUUCUCCGCA